Molecule: non-coding RNA, 47 nt
Organism: Monodelphis domestica (gray short-tailed opossum)
Lineage: Eukaryota; Metazoa; Chordata; Mammalia; Didelphimorphia; Didelphidae
Source: Rfam
CCACAGGCUUUUCUCAAAGCUACAUUAUUAAAAAUGUCUCUAUCACU